RNAcentral lists this ribosomal RNA (279 nucleotides) under uncultured bacterium. Its description in RNAcentral is "partial 16S ribosomal RNA". It matches the Rfam family "Bacterial small subunit ribosomal RNA", at positions 506 to 784 of the family's 1533-position model. The record is from RNAcentral.
UGCCAGCCGCCGCGGUAAUACGAAGGUGGCGAGCGUUGUUCGGAUUUACUGGGCGUAAAGAGCACGUAGGCGGUUGGGAAAGCCUCUUGGGAAAUCUCUCGGCUCAACCGAGAAAGUUCGAGAGGAACUAUUCAGCUAGAGGACGGGAGAGGAGCGCGGAAUUUCCGGUGUAGCGGUGAAAUGCGUAGAUAUCGGGAAGAAGGCCGGUGGCGAAGGCGGCGCUCUGGAACGUACCUGACGCUGAGGUGCGAAAGCGUGGGGAGCAAACAGGAUUAGAUA